Long non-coding RNA from Zingiber officinale, 874 nucleotides. RefSeq lists it as uncharacterized. Lineage: Eukaryota; Viridiplantae; Streptophyta; Magnoliopsida; Zingiberales; Zingiberaceae. The record is from RefSeq and is a predicted model, not a curated record. The transcript has 5 exons.
GUGCCCGACAUCCCGCCGUGCCCGAUUCUUCUUCUCCGCGCGCCCGACGCCGAUCUGCCCUAACCGCAAUCGAGCGGUUUCUUCUUCGUCGCGUACAAAGCUGUGGCCAAGGAAGUCUUACGCUAUUUUUCCCUCUGAUUCGUGCAUUUCCUCACACCAAACAGCGUCGACUCGAGCCCUAGGUGCCGACACCGCCGACACCCUCUCCGAUCUCCUCUGUGCCCGCUACUGAGACUCCUCGGCCGAACUUCCACCGUGCCCUAGCCCCUCUCAGUGGAUAGCCGGCUGCCAACGCUCAAAGCCAUUGACGCCAGUGAUCGAGGGCACGCCACUGCCGAUUUGCAGCCUUUGCCCUAGCCGACGCCACCACCGCCGCUUCUCCUCAGCCCUAGCGUCGGUCACCGUUUUGUUCCUCUGUGCUCGUGUCCUAGCUAGCCUUACUGUGCCGCCUCACCUCUGCUUCUGCCGAUUUCCCGAUUAUUACCGAUCAUCUUCCCUGGCUGACGGAGUGAGCACGAAGUCGUCUAGCUGUGAUCUUCGAGAACUUUAGGUGUUGUGGGCUAUUCCUGGUUCCGGCAGCAACUCCAUCUAGCUACUCUCUUUGAUUUCAGUAGCAAGAACGACUGAGAGAUUGAGCAGCAAUUACUUCGUUUGGCAGCAAGUUGUCCGACGGUGGAACACUUGCUGAGGCUUCGGAUUUAGUAACUUUACAGUAGCACCAUUCCUAGAUCUUCAGCAAGAGCUAUCUCCGGAUAGCCAUUUAUUCCUCGACAGCAAUACCACGAUCAAAGUUGGGUUGAAUUUGGUAUGCGUUGGAUUCUAGGGUUUUGACGUGAGACGAGCAUCUCGAUGUCCGAGUUGGACCGGAUUGAUC